Long non-coding RNA from Hypanus sabinus (Atlantic stingray), 1423 nucleotides. RefSeq lists it as uncharacterized. NCBI's taxonomy places the organism in Eukaryota, Metazoa, Chordata, Chondrichthyes, Myliobatiformes, Dasyatidae. The record is from RefSeq and is a predicted model, not a curated record. The transcript has 3 exons.
UUCAAUUAGAAAGGAGAAAUGUCUUUGUUUUGUAUCUUGAAAUCCAAAGAUGAAUGAUUUCUGUUGAUUUGCUUUUGGCUGGAUUAAAAGUAUAUCAGAAAUGUGAUUUGGAAUGUAACCUACUUUUUUAAGCGUGUCAGUAGGACUGACUGAAACUGUCCACAUUGUCACUGACUAAGUGUUCUGGAACACCAGUCCCUGAGAAGAGGCUUCUCAACACAUCAGCAGUGUGCGAGGCAGUAGUGGGGGCUAUUGGAAACAUGUCUGGCCACUUAGUAGCUGCAUCCACAACUACUAAGAAAUUUGGUCUGGCAAAAUCCACAUGAAUCCUCUCUCAGGGCAAUGCAGGCUACUCCCAGAGAUGUAGAGCUGCUGUUCUUGGCACCCUCUGCACGUGUUGGCAUCCUGAACAGUGCAUGGCAAGCUGCCCAAUCUGCUGAUCCAUUCCAGGUCACCAGACAAAGCUUCGAGCCAACAGUUUCAUUUUGACCAUGCCCAGAUGACAGGGAUGAAGCUCCAACACUUGCAUCUAUAUUAUAAGGCAACACACCGAAGGUAAAACUCACUGGACAAUGUGGAUGAUAAUGAUUCAACCGAAGAAGCUACAGUGGGGACAUUCUUGAAUUGAUUGAGGUCUUUCCUGGCCGGUGGAGCUGCAGAUGGAGACGAGCAGGACAGUACAAAGAUGGCGUUCCACAGGACUACCAGCCUUGUUCCUACGAACACAGUUUAUAUUAUUUCAUUGCUCAGUAGACCACAUAGAGCUUUAACAAAAACUUUGCUAAUGAAUUCUAAAGACUUCAUGAGGUUCAUCAGACAAUUUGAAUCUGAUUUGAUUAUCAGUGAUAUAAAACAAUUGGCUGUGCACAGAUUUAUUUAUCCCCGAGUCAAAUAAGAGAUGCCAGACAAAUUCCUAAUUUUUUUUUUGGGAAUUGCAGUUGGACAAUUGACGUUUGCAGUUUGGCCAUGUAGCUGACAGCAAUGUGCCAGAACUAAGGCUUCCAUGUGGGAGAACCAAAGCAGUCACCGAUCCCUGCUGGAGCAUAAUGAAACUGUUACAGCAGCCAUGUACAUUUUUUGAUCAUCCCUGUCACCUAUUGCAACUAAGAAAGUUCCUGUUCUCUAUGUGUGCAGCUGCAGAGCUAAACAGCCAGGGGUCUGAUGAGGGUCAUGAGAUUGGCCACAACUUUAAUAACUAGUCUAUAAGGUCCAGGGUACAAUUUGCAAUGAAGUCUCUUCCUCGCUAGGUUGCACAAUUUGAAAUGCUGAAAUAUCUGGAUGUGUUAUAUUUUGUAACUUCAAAAGAUUAAACUAAUUCAAAGGAAGGUAAAGGAGUCCAAAUGUGGGUCUGACUUUGAGUUUACUUUAAGCGAGAUGCAUGCAUAUCAUGUGGUAGUGUGAUGAGGUAUGCAAUUCAUGUAUU